Molecule: transfer RNA, 77 nt
Filed under: Acidobacteriota bacterium
Lineage: Bacteria; Pseudomonadati; Acidobacteriota
Also listed under: 1 other name
Description: Acidobacteria bacterium (activated sludge metagenome) tRNA-Arg
Rfam family: tRNA
About the family: Transfer RNA (tRNA) molecules are approximately 80 nucleotides in length.
Source: RNAcentral
GGUCCCGUAGCUCAGCUGUAUAGAGCGUCCGCCUCCUAAGCGGAAGGUCGCUGGUUAGAAUCCAGCCGGGACCGCCA